This 792-nucleotide ribosomal RNA is filed under the name Anilios australis (Southern blind snake). RNAcentral describes it as "partial 16S ribosomal RNA". It matches the Rfam family "Bacterial large subunit ribosomal RNA", at positions 1441 to 2597 of the family's 2925-position model. Lineage: Eukaryota; Metazoa; Chordata; Lepidosauria; Squamata; Typhlopidae. The record is from RNAcentral.
CCAAUAAAAAUAGCGUCUAAGCAGAAUUUUAAAAAAUACCACCACCCCUAGUUUUCUCCAGCAGGCUAAAAGAACAAUCCUAUUAACAUAGGAACUCCCAUGCUAAAACUACUAAUAUGGAUCCUCCUCCUAGCACAUCUUUUUCUCAUCCAUUUGACAAUUAACAGACCAAAAAAGGAAAGAAACACGCUCUUCACUAUUCUAACCUCACUGUAAGUCCAACUCUGAUGUGCAAAAUCAAGGUCGAAAGUCUUAAAAGGAACUCGGCAAACACGAACCCCAACUGUUUACCAAAAACAUAGCCUUUAGCCACACAAGUAUUAAAGGUACUGCCUGCCCAGUGAAUUUUUUUAACGGCCGCGGUAUCCUGACCGUGCAAAGGUAGCGAAAUCAUUUGUCUACUAAUUAUAGACCAGUAUGAAGGGCCACAUGAGGGUUUAACUGUCUCCUAAGACCAACCUAUAAAACUGAUCUCCUAGUUCAAAAGCUAGGAUAAUACUAUAAGACGAGAAGACCCUGUGAAGCUUAAAAAAUCCUAUUAAAACAACUAAUAGGUACUUUUAGUUGGGGCAACUUUGGAAGACAAACUAACCUCCAAACAACCUAAAAGACUGACAAGUCAAAAAAUGACCCAGUAUAACUGAAUAAUGGACCAAGUUACUCCAGGGAUAACAGCGCAAUCUUCUUCAAGAGCUCAUAUCUAAAAGAAGGUUUACGACCUCGAUGUUGGAUCAGGACACCCAAGCGGCGCAGCAGCUGCUAAAGGUUCGUUUGUUCAACGAUUAAAGUCCU